Long non-coding RNA from Chroicocephalus ridibundus (black-headed gull), 1570 nucleotides. RefSeq lists it as uncharacterized. Lineage: Eukaryota; Metazoa; Chordata; Aves; Charadriiformes; Laridae. The transcript is spliced from 3 exons. The record is from RefSeq and is a predicted model, not a curated record.
GGGGCACAGCUGCGCUCCCAAGAGCUGAGCAGAAAUCCCAGCUGAUGCCCAGCAUUACAAAUUACUCUGUGACUACGCAGCACUGAAGCGAGAGAACGAUGCUUGGCUGCCCAGAAGCUGGGGGCUUUUUGAGCAGAAAAGACUUGUUCAAGAUGAAUGGCAUGAGAAGCGAGCUCAAUGACCAAAGGAUACCCUGCUAAAAAGACAAGAAGCCACAUCACUCCACGGCUUAUCCAUCUGGAGCUGCUACAGUACCCACGGGUGGAGAACGAAGUGACCUGGCAACGGGAGGAAGCAAUUCCAACCAGGCUAAAAAUCUCCACCCAGGAAGCAGGGCAUCAAGUGACCAGGCAUGAGAAGGUUCCUUCCAUGAUAUGGCUACAGAGGCAUCCUGACACACAGCUCGGAAGAACGGCAAGCUUCGUGCUCUCCCCUGGAACUACCAAGUCUCUACUCCAGCUCAGUUCAGUUUAGCUAGCACGUGGCUCUGUCCUGGUUCGCAAUCCUCUGCUGCAAGUAAAGGGCUGACUCAGUUUACAGCACAAAAGAGAGUCCUAAGUGUCAGCCAAGGAAUGCUAGAUGAUGAGAAAAUAAAGCACAGGGGCUCAAACUUGUUUUAAUACAGCACUUACAUACACAGCGAUAGAGCAGAAGACAAAAUGUUUAUGAAAUACCAACUAACUUGCUACAGUUCAGUUUGCAAAUAGUUUUAAAACGGAAUGACCAAUUAACACUUACUUCAAUAAGAAGCUAAGAAAAUAGCUAGGGCUUAUCAAACAAUGUUAAUCUAGUGGCAGAUAAACAUAAUCAAAAUCUCAUUUCACCUACCAUUUAACUCUUUAUUUUCUCCCUGCUUUUUCAGUGUGCUUCAGCGUCCCAAGCCACAUAGCCCUGACCCUUCAUUCCUGUUUUUCUUUUAUCCAUCAACCUGCCUUGUCUUACCUCUCAGGAGUAGGCCCACACCAUACACACUCACAGUGAUGAUGUGUGAAAUCCAUCGGUGGACUUUCGGAAAUCUGCCUGGGAGUAUGAAUAGCUCGUCUGAAAGCUGUUUUCUCAUCAAAUGACUCAAUCUGUGUAUCCACCCAAGAUUGACGGGACUGAGACCCAUCCAUGCCAGACCAGAAACGAUCAGGAGCCAUUACAUUCCCUACAUGAGUCAUUACAUUGAGCAGCUGCUGCUUCUUUGGGAAUUUCCUUGGACUACAUCUUUGCUCGAGGAAGAAGAAAGCUAUUUCCCACCCUUGCAAAGGGGGAAUGUGCACAAGUAAAGAGGAAGGAAAAGCUACAUCCAUAUGACAAAGACAAGUGAAAAAGGAAGGUUUUGGGAGUUGUCAGAGAGAGAUGUAGGAACAAACCUUCAGGUGAGAGGGAAAGCGAUGCCUGCAGGGCACGCGGUCUCAGACAGCAAGAAGCAGCUCUCACCUCUGCCAGAGGCAGAGAAGGUUCACCCUGAGCAGCCUGCCCGCCUGCCAUCCCAGAAUCUGAUGAGCAGACAGUUUGUACCUGAAGGACAGACAAAACAAAACCCAGUUCAUUUAGGAAUGCUACUGGUUUCAGAUGAUUUCUA